AGAGUUUGAUCAUGGCUCAGAACGUACGCUGGCGGCACGCCUUAUACAUGCAAGUCGAACGGAGUAGCAAUACUUAGUGGCAGACGGGUGAGUAACAUGUGGGUAUCUUCCCUUUGGUGAGGAAUAACACGAGGAAACUUGUGCUAAUACCUCAUAAGUCUUUACGGAGAAAGCUUUAUGCGCCAAUGGAUGAGCCUGCACUUGAUUAGUUUGUUGGUGGGGUAAUGGCCUACCAAGACUUUGAUCAAUAGCUGAUCUGAGAGGAUGAUCAGCCACAUUGGGACUGAGACACGGCCCAAACUCCUACGGGAGGCAGCAGUAGGGAAUAUUGCACAAUGGAGGAAACUCUGAUGCAGCGAUGCCGCGUGAGUGAAGAAGGCCUUUGGGUUGUAAAGCUCUUUCGUCGGGGAAGAAAAUGACUGUACCCGAAUAAGAAGGUCCGGCUAACUUCGUGCCAGCAGCCGCGGUAAUACGAAGGGACCUAGCGUAGUUCGGAAUUACUGGGCUUAAAGAGUUCGUAGGUGGUUAAAAAAGUUGGUUGUGAAAUCCCAGAGCUUAACUCUGGAACUGCAAUCAAAACUUUUUAGCUAGAGUAUGAUAGAGGAAAGCAGAAUUUCUAGUGUAGAGGUGAAAUUCGUAGAUAUUAGAAAGAAUACCAAUUGCGAAGGCAGCUUUCUGGAUCAUUACUGACGCUGAGGAACGAAAGCAUGGGUAGCGAAGAGGAUUAGAUACCCUCGUAGUCCAUGCCGUAAACGAUGUGUGUUAG
Molecule: ribosomal RNA, 766 nt
Filed under: marine metagenome
Description: bacterial SSU rRNA
Rfam family: Bacterial small subunit ribosomal RNA
Source: RNAcentral